This 253-nucleotide ribosomal RNA is filed under the name uncultured bacterium. Its description in RNAcentral is "partial 16S ribosomal RNA". It matches the Rfam family "Bacterial small subunit ribosomal RNA", at positions 524 to 776 of the family's 1533-position model. The record is from RNAcentral.
UACGUAGGGGGCAAGCGUUGUCCGGAUUUAUUGGGCGUAAAGAGCGUGUAGGCGGCCAGUCAAGUCUGCUGUGAAAACUCGAGGCUCAACCUCGAGCUGUCGGUGGAAACUGUCUGGCUAGAGUCCGGAAGAGGAGAGUGGAAUUCCUGGUGUAGCGGUGAAAUGCGCAGAUAUCAGGAAGAACACCUAUGGCGAAGGCAGCUCUCUGGGACGGUACUGACGCUGAGGCGCGAAAGCGUGGGGAGCGAACAGG